ACAAUGGAGAGUUUGAUCCUGGCUCAGGAUGAACGCUAGCGGCAGGCUUAACACAUGCAAGUCGAGGGGUAGAUUUUCUUCGGAGAAUUGAGACCGGCGCACGGGUGCGUAACGCGUAUGCAACUUACCUUAUACUGGGGGAUAGCCCGGAGAAAUUCGGAUUAAUACCGCAUAUGCUCACAGUUUCGCAUGGAACAGUGAGGAAAGAUUUAUCGGUAUAAGAUAGGCAUGCGUCCUAUUAGCUUGUUGGUGAGGUAACGGCUCACCAAGGCGAUGAUAGGUAGGGGGCCUGAGAGGGUGGUCCCCCACACUGGUACUGAGACACGGAC
This 329-nucleotide ribosomal RNA is filed under the name Schleiferiaceae bacterium. RNAcentral's name for it is "bacterial SSU rRNA". It matches the Rfam family "Bacterial small subunit ribosomal RNA", at positions 1 to 331 of the family's 1533-position model. The record is from RNAcentral. Lineage: Bacteria; Pseudomonadati; Bacteroidota; Flavobacteriia; Flavobacteriales; Schleiferiaceae.